GCCAUCCCAUCAUCAGCCUUCCCAGCAGUUUUCAUCAUUCCAAAAUUUCCCAGAGAUGUUCAGACAAAGUUGGACCAAAAACCGCCAUGUAAAAUUGAGAGAUCCGAUCACAACAAAAUCAUAAGAACAUUGUAUGAAACCAUGGCCCUGAUCAAAAUGUUUCCGACCAAUGAUGACUAUGUGAAAGUGUGUAAGGCCCUGAUUUUGAAAUACCCUUUCUUAAAAGACAAAGAAGGCAAUGGUUAUCAUACCUGGCACAUGUCUCUCAAACGUAAGUUCAAAUAUGA
Long non-coding RNA from Carassius gibelio (silver crucian carp), 287 nucleotides. RefSeq lists it as uncharacterized. The transcript has 3 exons. NCBI's taxonomy places the organism in Eukaryota, Metazoa, Chordata, Actinopteri, Cypriniformes, Cyprinidae. The record is from RefSeq and is a predicted model, not a curated record.